AUGUCGCGCGGCAGGGACCCUUUGGCACUGAGCCAGGUAAUUGGUGAUGUGUUGGAUCCUUUCAUAAAGUCAGCUGCCAUGAUAAUUAAUUAUGGUGAGAAGGAGAUUACAAAUGGCACUGGGGUACGAUCAUCUGCCGUGCUCAAUGCACCACAGGUGCAGAUUGAAGGUCGUGACCGGACGAAGCUCUACACACUUGUUAUGGUGGAUCCUGACGCGCCAAGUCCAAGCAAACCGGAAUACAGGGAAUAUUUGCAUUGCCCUCUCAAAAAAGGAGGGGGGUGUUUCUUUUCCAUCCAUCAACAGCUGAAGAACUCUUGUUCUGUAUGCUAUUGGAGGUUGGUGACAGACAUCCCAGAGGCAACAGAUGCACGUUUUGGCAAUGAAAUAGUUCCCUAUGAAGCUCCACGGCCACCAGCCGGUAUUCAUCGGCUUGUUUUUGUGCUAUUCAAACAGGAAGCACGGCAGACAGUUUAUGCACCAGGAUGGCGGCAAAAUUUUAACAUCAGAGACUUCUCAGCAUUUUACAAUCUUGGACCACCGGUUGCUGCAUUAUUCUUCAACUGCCAAAAGGAGAGUGGUGUUGGUGGCAGAAGGUUCCAAGGACCAGGCUGA
Molecule: ribosomal RNA, 615 nt
Filed under: Triticum aestivum (bread wheat)
Lineage: Eukaryota; Viridiplantae; Streptophyta; Magnoliopsida; Poales; Poaceae
Description: partial small subunit ribosomal RNA
Source: RNAcentral